GCGAGAGUGGCGGAAUGGCAGACGCACUAGCUUGAGGGGCUAGCGGUAGCAAUACUGUAGGGGUUCAAGUCCCCUCUCUCGCA
Molecule: transfer RNA, 83 nt
Filed under: Candidatus Omnitrophota bacterium
Lineage: Bacteria; Pseudomonadati; Candidatus Omnitrophota
Description: Candidatus Omnitrophica bacterium tRNA-Leu
Rfam family: tRNA
About the family: Transfer RNA (tRNA) molecules are approximately 80 nucleotides in length.
Source: RNAcentral